UCAGUCGACUCCUACGGGGAGGCAGCAGUGGGGAAUAUUGCACAAUGGGGGAAACCCUGAUGCAGCCAUGCCGCGUGUGUGAAGAAGGCCUUCGGGUUGUAAAGCACUUUCAGUAGGGAGGAAGGUAGUGUAGUUAACACCUGCACUAUUUGACGUUACCUACAGAAGAAGCACCGGCUAACUCCGUGCCAGCAGCCGCGGUAAUACGGAGGGUGCGAGCGUUAAUCGGAAUUACUGGGCGUAAAGCGCAUGCAGGCGGCCUGUUAAGUCAGAUGUGAAAGCCCGGGGCUUAACCUCGGAAUUGCAUUUGAAACUGGCAGGCUAGAGUCUUGUAGAGGGGGGUAGGAAUUUCAGGUGUAGCGGUGAAAUGCGUAGAGAUCUGAAGGAAUACCAGUGGCGAAGGCGGCCCCCUGGACAAAGACUGACGCUCAGAUGCGAAAGCGUGGGGAGCAAACAGGAUUAGAUACCCUGGUAG
This 475-nucleotide ribosomal RNA is filed under the name uncultured bacterium. RNAcentral's name for it is "bacterial SSU rRNA". It matches the Rfam family "Bacterial small subunit ribosomal RNA", at positions 328 to 793 of the family's 1533-position model. The record is from RNAcentral.